UAGCACUGGGCAAAGCCAUCUCAUUGUCUUGGAGAAAUUCUCUGCCCCUUGCCUUCCCAGUAGAGAGCACAGCACAGCCCCACCAGGGUGAGGAAUAAACGGUGUCCUUGUAGAAAAAAACAAUCCUCCUCUUCCAGGCAGUGGGAGUGUGUGCUCCUUGCUCAUGUCCUGGAGCCCCCUGCACCCCAACAGCCCCUUGACCCCAGGAUCCACCCCAGAACCAGUGUCCAGGGUCCCCAGGACAGAAGGGACACCUCAGCAGAAUCUAUUUUUAGGCCAUUUCAGGGUUAAUAAGGUUUCUCCAUUGGCAGAAAUGCAGGAAUUAAACGUUCUCCACAACUUACUUUAAUUCUAACUAAAUAAUAUGGCUACAGGGAGCACCAAAGGAAUCUUAAGGGGGAAAUGCUGAAGUUGGGUCAUUCUCAAGACUUUGGGUCUGUGAGGUCCACUGACUCAUCAGAGAAAGGAAUGUGGCAUGGAUGGAUGCUGUGCACAGCAGUGAAUCGCAGUAACAAGUUCACAGAAAACUUCAGGAGGCUUUUACAAAGGCUUGUAAGCACUUUGAAGCUGGAGACUGUUUUUAUAUACGUACAGCACUUGCGUAACAAGGUCUCGACAGUGAACGGGAUUCCAGGGUGCAGUUGCAAUAAAGUGAUUAAUAGUA
This is a non-coding RNA of Taeniopygia guttata (zebra finch), 664 nucleotides long. NCBI's taxonomy places the organism in Eukaryota, Metazoa, Chordata, Aves, Passeriformes, Estrildidae. The record is from RefSeq and is a predicted model, not a curated record.